Molecule: long non-coding RNA, 2479 nt
Filed under: Helianthus annuus (common sunflower)
Lineage: Eukaryota; Viridiplantae; Streptophyta; Magnoliopsida; Asterales; Asteraceae
Description: hypothetical non coding rna
Source: RNAcentral
UAGCCGGGAUAUAUAAAGCGGCCCACACUAUACGCAAAAGCACCCGUUUCAUCUUGAAUUUGUGAAGGCGAAAACUAGGGCAAACAUGAUCAUUCCGGUCCGAUGCUUCACCUGCGGCAAGGUUAUUGGAAACAAAUGGGACACGUAUCUUGAUCUUCUCCAGUCUGAUUACACCGAAGGGUGAGUUCUUUUCUUGCUUUCUUUAUGCGUUUCAUUUCGCUGUUUUGCUCAAAGAUGAAGUUUUAACAUGGACAUGUUUUUGUUUUUUUUUUUAUGUAAAUAAAAAGUAUUAAACUGAUAUGGAGCAAUUGCUCGAGUGUGGGUGAAAUAACUGCUAACUAUCUUAAAUAUGUGUCCUAUAUGUUGUCAAAAGCGCCCGAGGGCAGCGAGGGCGACUGGUGAGGCGCGCUUUUAGGUGCUGAGGCGCAAAAUCAGGCUAAAAGUCGUCUGAAACCCUUGAAAUAUCUUAAACUAGCCCUCAACAAGCCUAAAACAUCUCUAAAACCCAUAAAUAUGUAUUUUAUACUAUGCGUUUAAAAAAGCUUUUGUUUUUAAGGGCCUAACGCGCCUAGGCUCUGGGCUCGGUCUAGGCGAUUUGACAACGUAGUAUGUGUCUAUUUUGUGACUGGUGUUUCCUUUACUCUGUGGGAGUUGGAAGUGGCACAGAUUUAUUGUCCGUUUGUUGAUUGAGGUUUGCUAGCUCAGGGGGUUAUGGAAGUAAAAGUUUCAAACAAAAAUGCAGUGGUUAAUUCUCACCCCCACCUCACUUUUGAUAUGGAAGCAUUAGGGGCUACAAUUCUUGACACGACCCACCAACCCGACCUGAACCAAACACGAAACAAACAGGUUUGGGUCGAUUAACAUGACCUAUUUAAAAAAAGGGUCGGGUUCGGGUUGACCCAUUAACCAUUUAACUAUUUAGAAAAAAAAAUCUUUUAUAUUUUUGUUUUUCUUUUUUCUGUUUCCAUUUUACAUGGUUAGUUAUAAUAAUGUAAGUUUUGACACACUAUAUUAUUUAUUUGUCACGCUCAUACUCAUCAUUAAACAUGAUAUUUUGAAUAUGUGUCCUAUGUUGUCAAAAGCGCCUGAGGGCAGCAAAUGGGCCUCGACUGGUGAGACACACUUUUGGGUGCUGAGGCGCAAAAUCAGGCUAAAAGUCGUCUGAAACCCUUAAAACAUCCUAAACUAGCCCUCAACAUCUCUAAAACUCAUAAAAAUGUCUUUUAUGCUAUGCGUCUAUUAGACAACAUAGUAUGUGUCUAUUUUUGACUGGUGUUUCCUUUACUAUGUGGGCGUUGGAAGUUGCACAGAUUUAUUGCCCAUUUGUUGAUUGAGGUAUGCUAGUUCAGGGUGUUAUGAAAGUAAUAGUUUCAAACAAAAAUGCAGUGGUUAAUUCCCACCCCACCUCACUUUUGACAUGGAAGCAUAAUAGUUUCUUGUGGUGGUGCAUCAAGGGAUGGAGUUGGUGAGGCACGGAAGUGGGGUUUUGCUGUGCGGUUGUGCAUGAAUCACAUUAGGGCUUAUAGGGUUCUUAAUCAUAUACGGUCUUGUAGGGUUUGGGGUCGUGAUGGCCUGAUGGGUGAUUUGUUGACCUAGUGUGAAUAAACAUUUAUUCAAAUGAGGCAUAGACUAGCCAGAAGCUUUAACUAGAGUCUUUUUGGUUUUUUUUUUCUAGUAAUAUUUUCUUACAUAGAACGUGUGCAAUCUAAUAUACACUUACAUGAAUGACAUGUUUUUGAGGCUCUGUAGUCUGUAUGCUACUAAUUUUUUAAAGCUUAAUGAGUCAAUAAUAAAAAUAUGUAAAUAUCUCAAGUGAGGGGUAUGCUAGCAGAAGCUUUAACUAGAGCUUUUGGUUUCUUUUUUAUCCAAAGUUUUAAUUUUUUUUAUAUAGAAAGUGUGCAAUAUAUUGAUAUAUGUUGCAUAACUGACAUGUUUAUGAGGCUCUAUGGUCUGUAUAAUAAUCCCAUAAUGUGCAAUAUAUUGAUAUAUGUUGCAUAACUGCCAUGUUUAUGAGGCUCUAUUAUUUGGAUAUCUUUGUUAUCAAACUUUAUCGCAUAUAUGCAGAUAGGUUGUUAUACUCACAUGGUCUUUGCUUUUUGGUAAAUUGUUUUGGCGAUGUUUUGAUGCCCUAUUUCACUUGAACUAUGAUUCAUCUUCAAUCUUCAUUUAAUAUUUGCUACAUGAAUUGUGCAGAGAUGCUCUUGAUGCUUUGGGGCUUGUCCGUUAUUGUUGCAGAAGAAUGCUGAUGACGCAUGUUGAUCUCAUUGAAAAGCUUCUCAACUAUAACACAUUGGAGAAGUCUGACACCAGCUGAAGCGUCAUUGGAGAACGGUUAGCAAUGGAGAAUGAUUGCUUAGAACAAGUGUACUGGCAUUUUGUUUCAACAUUGUGUUUCAUUUCUAAAAGUCGGUGUAAAAUUACUGGAAACAAGCAAACAUGUUAACGUAUGGUAGGUAUCAAUUUGUUUCUAUGUUGAUGC